Molecule: ribosomal RNA, 331 nt
Filed under: uncultured bacterium
Lineage: Bacteria
Description: bacterial SSU rRNA
Rfam family: Bacterial small subunit ribosomal RNA
Source: RNAcentral
CGCGCAGGCGGCCUUUCAAGUCAGGCGUGAAAGCCCCGGGCUUAACCUGGGAAUUGCGCUUGGGACUGAAGGGCUGGAGUUCGGGAGAGGAGAGUGGAAUUCCCAGUGUAGAAGUGAAAUUCGUAGAUAUUGGGAAGAACACCGGUGGCGAAGGCGGCUCUCUGGACCGAUACUGACGCUGAGGCGCGAAAGCGUGGGGAGCAAACAGGAUUAGAUACCCUGGUAGUCCACGCUGUAAACGAUGUGCGCUAGACGUUGGAGGGCGUAGCCUUCCGGUGUCGCAGCUAACGCUUUAAGCGCACCGCCUGGGGAGUACGGCCGCAAGGUUAAA